UGGGGAAUAUUGGACAAUGGGCGAAAGCCUGAUCCAGCCAUGCCGCGUGUGUGAAGAAGGUCUUCGGAUUGUAAAGCACUUUAAGUUGGGAGGAAGGGCAGUAAGUUAAUACCUUGCUGUUUUGACGUUACCGACAGAAUAAGCACCGGCUAACUCUGUGCCAGCAGCCGCGGUAAUACAGAGGGUGCAAGCGUUAAUCGGAAUUACUGGGCGUAAAGCGCGCGUAGGUGGGUUGUUAAGUUGGAUGUGAAAGCCCCGGGCUCAACCUGGGAACUGCAUCCAAAACUGGCAAGCUAGAGUACGGUAGAGGGUGGUGGAAUUUCCUGUGUAGCGGUGAAAUGCGUAGAUAUAGGAAGGAACACCAGUGGCGAAGGCGACCACCUGGACUGAUACUGACACUGAGGUGCGAAAGCGUGGGGAGCAAACA
RNAcentral lists this ribosomal RNA (427 nucleotides) under uncultured bacterium. Its description in RNAcentral is "partial 16S ribosomal RNA". It matches the Rfam family "Bacterial small subunit ribosomal RNA", at positions 355 to 774 of the family's 1533-position model. The record is from RNAcentral.